CCCAGAUGGGAUUAGCUAGUAGGUGGGGUAACGGCUCACCUAGGCGACGAUCCCUAGCUGGUCUGAGAGGAUGACCAGCCACACUGGAACUGAGAUACGGUCCAGACUCCUACGGGAGGCAGCAGUGGGGAAUAUUGCACAAUGGGCGCAAGCCUGAUGCAGCCAUGCCGCGUGUGUGAAGAAGGCCUUCGGGUUGUAAAGCACUUUCAGCGGGGAGGAAGGCGAUAAGGUUAAUAACCUUGUCGAUUGACGUUACCCGCAGAAGAAGCACCGGCUAACUCCGUGCCAGCAGCCGCGGUAAUACGGAGGGUGCAAGCGUUAAUCGGAAUUACUGGGCGUAAAGCGCACGCAGGCGGUCUGUCAAGUCGGAUGUGAAAUCCCCGGGCUUAACCUGGGAACUGCAUUCGAAACUGGCAGGCUAGAGUCUUGUAGAGGGGGGUAGAAUUCCAGGUGUAGCGGUGAAAUGCGUAGAGAUCUGGAGGAAUACCGGUGGCGAAGGCGGCCCCCUGGACAAAGACUGACGCUCAGGUGCGAAAGCGUGGGGAGCAAACAGGAUUAGAUACCCUGGUAGUCCACGCCGUAAACGAUGUCGAUUUGGAGGUUGUGCCCUUGAGGCGUGGCUUCCGGAGCUAACGCGUUAAAUCGACCGCCUGGGGAGUACGGCCGCAAGGUUAAAACUCAAAUGAAUUGACGGGGGCCCGCACAAGCGGUGGAGCAUGUGGUUUAAUUCGAUGCAACGCGAAGAACCUUACCUGGUCUUGACAUCCACAGAACUUUCCAGAGAUGGAUUGGUGCCUUCGGGAACUGUGAGACAGGUGCUGCAUGGCUGUCGUCAGCUCGUGUUGUGAAAUGUUGGGUUAAGUCCCGCAACGAGCGCAACCCUUAUCCUUUGUUGCCAGCGGUUAGGCCGGGAACUCAAAGGAGACUGCCAGUGAUAAACUGGAGGAAGGUGGGGAUGACGUCAAGUCAUCAUGGCCCUUACGACCAGGGCUACACACGUGCUACAAUGGCAUAUACAAAGAGAAGCGACCUCGCGAGAGCAAGCGGACCUCAUAAAGUAUGUCGUAGUCCGGAUUGGAGUCUGCAACUCGACUCCAUGAAGUCGGAAUCGCUAGUAAUCGUAGAUCAGAAUGCUACGGUGAAUACGUUCCCGGGCCUUGUACACACCGCCCGUCACACCAUGGGAGUGGGUUGCAAAAGAAGUAGGUAGCUUAACCUUCGGGAGGGCGCUUACCACUUUGUGAUUCAUGACUGGGGUGAAGUCGUAACAAGGUAACCGUAGGGGAACCUGCGGUUGGAUCACCU
RNAcentral lists this ribosomal RNA (1305 nucleotides) under Klebsiella pneumoniae CHS 21. RNAcentral's name for it is "partial 16S ribosomal RNA". It matches the Rfam family "Bacterial small subunit ribosomal RNA", at positions 230 to 1528 of the family's 1533-position model. Lineage: Bacteria; Pseudomonadati; Pseudomonadota; Gammaproteobacteria; Enterobacterales; Enterobacteriaceae. The record is from RNAcentral.